UUCGGUGCGUUUUUUGGUAUGUGCUUGUGCACAUAGCCACUCACCAACUUAUGUGCUUGCGCGAGAAUCCAUUUCUCUAUCGUAUGUAACGGGGAACAUUGUGCUUAGAAAAAUUAUUAACUAGGGGACAUUUUUUUCGCAAUGCCUUGGGCAUAUUUUUCUGACAUUCAGACAGAAUAGUGGCAUGAGUCGAUUAAUCUAUGGCAGAUCAACAAGAUCAACUAUCAGGGGGGUCUGUAGAGACGGCCAAUGCUUCAGCAGAUACCUCUAAAGUUAGAGGGAAGAGCUCUAGCAGUGGUAGCAGCGGUUAUAGAAAACGACAAAGCACUAGUUCUAUUCCAGUCACUGUAGAAGAAAAAAGACGUAGACAGACUAUUGGUGACCCAGAAUCAUCUGUAGAUUUUAAUACUUCCGUGUGUCAACAUUCGAGUGAUUCCUUCAAAGCAGAAAGUAGAACAAGAGGUGAUCGUAAAAGUCAUGGCAGUGGCUUAGAAUCAUAUCUAGAUACUAAUUGGAGGGCUCCACAUAAAGUUCAACAGUCGAAUUGUAAUAUUAGUGGGAGCAGUACAAGAGUUCGUAGUGCUGCAAGAACAAGUUUGCCAGAAUUAAAUUUAACGGCUAUUGACUGUGUUGCUUCAAGGACUCGUUCUCGUACACCACAAAAUCCCCAAGCCAUAUCACAAGGACAUAAUAGUUACGAUUUAUCACUAUCCAGUGAUUUUAAUAACCGAGAAGACUUGACGUAUAACAGUUUGGUACCACCAUCGAGUUCUACACCUGUUACUAGUCAUCCAUCCACAUCACGAGGAAGAGGCCUGAGGAUGAGCGAAUGUCUGGAAGGAUUUGUGUCUGCUGUCAAAGCACUUUUUCCAAUAUCAACACAAACGUAUCAUCAAGAAGGGUCAAAAUCUCACGGUGGUACAACCUGCACGAAUAGCAGUACAAGUAGUCAAGUUCUGAGUGUGAAGUCCAGCAUCAGAGUGGGUAACGCAGCCAGUAAUUCUGUGGAGAGCGGUGGGGGGGCGUUGGCACAUGACGGGGCAGGCACUAGUGGCAUCACAACAGCCACUGCCAAUCCAUCGGUGUCUGCCUCUGCCACUGCCAACCCUACACACCCUCAUUCUGCGCACAGGCAUAUAUUACGUUCUCGCACAAAAUUGUCCAGUGAACCUAAAGAACUGCCAACUAAUAACAAAACUUCAGGAAAGCAUCAUAAAAAAGAUACUACAACGGGUACUUGUUCAAGCUCCAGACACCGCUCUUCAUCACGCGCAAGAAAAGCAGUGAUAGAAGGAGGUUCUGGAGGAAGUGUAAUGUCAGGUACUGAAUCCGUCACAAAUAGUGCCACUCCAACAUCUGUAUCAUCUACAGUUCCUGGCAAUCAAUUAGUAUCAACCACCGGUGAAGACGAAUCUGCCUCUACAGCUACACCUGCCACAGCAGGUGGAGGUCCAUCCGGGAUGUCUGGUACUACUGGAGACAGUGAAAGUGAUGAUGGUGAAGUUGGAAGAUUACAAGCAUUAUUGGAAGCUAGAGGUUUACCUCCUCACGUGUUUGGUGCAUUAGGACCGCGAAUGCAACAUUUAUUAAAUAGAAGCAUGGGUGCGAGUUCAGCUGCCAAAGCACAACAGCUUCUGACUGGUUUACAAGCUGUUGAUGACGAAGGAGAACAGUUGCAAGCUGUUAUCGGAAUGGGUGAAAUUCUCGUCAUGGGAAAUGAAGAUACCCUAGCUGGUUUUCCCGUGAAACAAGUGGUUGCAGCAUUAAUUAAUUUACUUGGAAUAGAGCAUAAUUUUGUGAUAAUGACACAUGCAUGUCGUGCUCUCACUUACAUGAUGGAAGCUUUGCCUCGAUCGUCGACAGUUGUGGUUGAUGCUGUACCAGUGUUCUUACAAAAAUUAGAAUCUAUCGAAUGUAUGGAUGUGGCUGAACAGUGUUUAACGGCAUUAGCAAUGCUUUCACGUCGUCACAGUAAAACCAUUUUACAUGCAGGAGGAGUGUCAGCUUGUUUGAAAUUUGUUGAUUUCUUCAACAUCACUGCUCAACGAGCUGCAUUAACGAUAACGGCAAAUUGUUGUCAAAAUCUUCACCCUGAUGACUUUCACUUAGUGGUCGAUAGUUUACCUUUGUUGACAAGUAGACUAACGAAUCAAGAUAAAAAAAGUGUUGAAUGUGUUUGCCAAGCAUUUAGUCGUUUGGUUGAUAGUUUUCAACAUGAUCCUGUAACUUUACAUAAAAUUAUCAAUGCAGAACUUCUUCAAAACUUACAACAACUGUUAAUGAUUACGCCACCUGUCAAUAGCAUUGGCAAUUUCAUAACGGUGUUACGAAUGCUUUCUGUGAUAUCAAAUCGCUGUCCUGAUUUGGCACAGCUGCUUCUGCAACAAAAUAUUGCUUUUACGCUAAGUUAUCUUUUAACUGGAUCAUUAGAAGUGAAAGCAGAAGAUGUAGAACUAGUACCGCGAUCUCCACAAGAGUGGUUUGAAAUUACUUGCUUGAUCGAGGAACUGAUGCCUCCAUUGCCAACAGAUGGCAUAUUUAGUGUAAAUAGUUUACUUGAAAGGACCAGUAAUCAACAAGAAAACGUUCAUUGGGAAUGGCGUGAUGAAAGACACUGCUGUCAUCCAUUUAGUACUAUUGAUUCUAGAAUUAUUGAGAUGGCAUUUCAGAAUGGUGAAGAUGAAAUCUGUCUUUCGUCUUUAGGACGAACUUAUACGAUAGAUUUAACUGUGAUGAAACAAAUUAAUGAAGACAUUGGGGUAGCGAGAAGCAUUUUCCGCAGAGUGAAUACACACCCCACAGAAGGAAAAAGUCCUACUUGUUCAUCCAACGCGGAUGUUGUACCUCCGGUAAUUGAAACGAAUGAAUGGUUAGUGUCGUUCAUUCGAACUUUAUUCUCUGUACUAUAUGAAGUUUACAGCAGUUCUGCUGGGCCUGCUGUAAAAUGUAAAUGUCUUCGGGCUCUUUUACGUAUGGUAUAUUAUGCUUCAACCGAUUUACUUAAGGAUGUUUUAAAGAACCAAGUAGUUUCAUCACAUAUAGCGGGUAUGUUGGCGUCCCAAGAUUUACGAAUUGUUAUUGGAGCUCUACAAAUGGCAAGCAUUCUAAUGAAAAGGCUCCCACAAGUGUUUGGAGUACACUUCCAUCGCGAAGGAGUACUACAUCAGAUACGUCAACUAGCUGAUCCUGAAGUACCUCUUGGUGUUUCACCACCUAAGUGCCCUUCUGGUACAUUACCAAGUCCACAGCCGGGUCCGUCUAAUACAUCGCUUUCUCCCACAACGAUGUUCUCUUCUACUAAUGCCACAUCCCCAAUUGCUUCUCCAUCAACGAAUGGUAAUAUACUAUUCGGUACAAUUGCAACUUGUCAGCUGAAGCCAAAUCUUUCUGCAUCGAUGGAGUCUCGCGCAAGAAAUGAAUUAAAUUCUACCAUAGAUGAUGUAACUACACCACAAAGUGCUCAUUUGAGAAUCGGGGAUGUCCUGAAAAGGAAAAGACAAAACAAGAAAGGGCGGUUUUCUAGAUUAGGUGGUACUACACCACAACAAAAUCAACAACCAGAAUCACUUUUCACUGGUUUCGCUCCUAAAAACAAUCGUUUCUUAGGAAAUCUUAAUCCUGCUAGAUGGGGUCGAAAAUCAUCAUCUUCGAGUUCUACUAGUGAUAAAAGAGAUUCAAGUUCAUCUACUAAUCUCUCAAAACCACCGAGUAAUUCAAGUUUAACAGGAGGCAAUCGAGAUAAGGCUAAAGCAUGGGUACGUGAACAGGCUGCUCAGUUCUUGUCACGAUAUCAAGAUGAUGCACCUUGUACACAUCCUGCGAUGACAGUCCUUUCGAGACUUACUGCUGCCAUACAACGGUUACAAUCAAAUGAAUUAGAUGAAAUGUUAUCAGCGCUUACUGAGUUACGAGAUAUUGUGCUUGAAAGUGAUAUAUCUCCGUUUGAAAUGAAUUAUAGUGGUCUCAUUAAGGCUCUGCUCAACUACCUCACUACUACAGAUGCUCCUGGUAAUCGUUAUGAUCGCCUGCGUAUGUUUUGGAAAUUGUUUGCAGAAUCAACUAUACAGCAAAGCAAUAAUGUUAUGGAUAUUAAUCCUGGAGCAUUUGGUGCUCUUGUAACAAAGCUGAAUAGUUGCGUUGCCCAACUGGAACAAUUCCCUGUGAAAGUACACGAUUUACCAGCCGGAUCUGGUGCUGGUCGCGGCGGUACUAGUGCUCUGAAAUUUUUCAAUACACACCAACUUAAGUGUAACCUGCAACGACAUCCUGACUGUAAUAAUUUGAAACAAUGGAAAGGAGGUACCGUCAAAAUAGAUCCCCUUGCGUUAGUACAAGCAAUCGAACGUUAUUUAAUGGUUCGUGGAUAUGGUAGGAUAAGAGAAGCGGAAUCGAUGGUUAGUGAUGAUGAUAACAGCGAAGACGAUAUAGACGAUACUUUGGCAGCGGUAGUUAUAAGUCAAGGAUCAGCUAAACAUAAACUUCAGUUCUUAAUUGGAGAUGAAGUACUGCCUUUCAACAUGACUGUUUAUCAAGCUGUUAGACAGUUCGGUUGUUCUGGAAUUGAUCAUUCUGAAGCAGAAGCUGAUGGUGAACCACCACUUGGCCAUGAUGCUGUAUGGGUACAGACACAUACAAUUUAUUACAGGCCUGUACCAGAAGAAGAAACUACAACUUCGCCAAAACCAGGAUCAAGUACACAGGGUAGCAGCCGCAAAGGCAAAGGAAAAAGUACAAAGAUCAGUUCAAAACGAAAAGAAGAUAGUUUAUGGCUUGAAGGAGUAGUGCCACCACAACGAUGUCCACUUGAUCCUUACUUAUCCCCCACUUUACCGCCUUCGGUUACGAUCACUGAUGCUUCAUUAGACGGUUUAUGCUUAUUGCGUCUUUUAUAUGCAUUGAAUCGUCAUUGGAGCGUUUUAUUCCCCCAUCUAAAGAAUAUAAGCUUACUUUCUCCGCAAGAUUUCAUCAAUAACAAAAUAGCUGCAAAAGCAAGUCGGCAGCUACAAGAUCCUUUGGUUAUUAUGACUGGAAAUUUGCCUUUGUGGUUACAACAAAUUGCUACAGUCUGUCCAUUCCUGUUUCCGUUUGAAACAAGACAAUUGUUACUUUAUGCAACAUCAUUCGAUCGAGAUAGAGCUUUACAACGACUUUUAGAUUCUGCGCCAGAAUUAUCGGGAUCAGAUAGCCAAGAACGUGUUACUCCCCGUUUGGAACGAAGGAAAAGAACUAUCUCGAGAACUGAUAUUCUUAAACAGGCCGAACAAGUUAUACAAGACUUAGCAUCUAGCAAAGCCUUGCUUGAAGUGCAAUAUGUCAAUGAGGUUGGUACUGGCCUUGGACCAACACUGGAAUUUUAUGCUCUAGUCUCUCAGGAAUUACAGCGUGCUGAUCUUGACCUUUGGCACGGUAGUUCAAAUUCUACCGAAACAGGAUACGUUAAUGCUCCUCAUGGACUUUUUUCAAUGCCAAUCCCAUGGAGUACUAAAGUAUCCCAUCUCGCGAAACUUAAAACAAAGUUUAAAUUCCUUGGAAAGUUCAUGGCGAAGGCGAUAUACGACUCAAGAAUGUUGGAUUUACCAUUCAGUUUAACCUUUUAUCGUUGGCUAUUGGGAGAAGAACAUACAUUAACGUUGGCUGAUUUAGCGUAUGUAUGUCCUGAUGUACAUCGAACUCUUGUUAGACUACAAGAAAUCGUUAGAAAGAAAGAGAUGAUUGAAAAAGAUGAAACAUUAAGACCACACGAGAAAGCACAACUAGUAGAUUCAUUAAAUUUAGACGGUUGUCCGAUUUCGGAGCUCGGUCUUGUUUUUGAAUUACCAGGUUAUGAGAAUAUUGAAUUGAGGAAAGGAGGAAGUGAUAUACCUGUCAAUAUUUAUAAUCUGGAUCAAUACAUUAAGUUGGUAGUACAUUGGUUCUUGUACGAAGGUGUCUUCAGACAAAUGGAAGCUUUUCGAGAAGGAUUCGAAUCUGUAUUCCCGCCAUCACAAUUGAGACUAUUCUUCCCUGAAGAACUUGAAGCCGUGUUUUGUGGACAUGCACAAACAGGUUGCCAGUGGGACGUGAAAACACUUUUAGAAUGUUGUAGGACUGAUCAUGGAUACACUCCAGAUUCCCGUGCUAUUCGUUUCCUGUUUGAAGUUAUGUCAAAAUAUAAUAGUGAAGAGCAAAGGCAGUUCAUCCAAUUCGUCACAGGUUCACCGCGACUACCAGUUGGAGGUUUUAAGAGUUUAACGCCACCCUUAACGAUAGUGCGUAAAACUUUCGACCCCUCAAUGAAAACGGACGAUUUCUUACCAUCCGUGAUGACUUGCGUUAAUUACUUAAAACUGCCUGAUUACACAACGUUAGAAAUAAUGCGAGAAAAGUUGCGAAUAGCUGCACAAGAAGGACAACAUUCGUUCCACCUUUCCUAGAAACAGAUGGAAAACUGGCGCGUCAUUUGCUCUUUUGCUAUCGCAUUGUCCAGGUAAGAUAGUCCAAUUAAUACUUUUAGCCGUGUAUGAGUGCAGCCAGCAUCGCCAGACAGUGUCACCGUAAUGAUCGAAGAAAAUUACUGUCUUAUAUCUACUCAUUUACAGGCAAAACAUCUAUUUAUGAAAAAAAAAAUGUACGAAAAAUGUAUAAUAUUGAAAUAGAAUGGAUAUAAAGUCAGCGAAGCUGGUGUAUCAGAUGGAUUAUACAAGGUACAUUACUUUCUUAUAUCUCUGUAGAAAUUGUGAUUCUGUACGAAAAUUGUGAGAAUAUGAACUGAUCAAAAGUAGAAAAAAAGAUAAUAUGCGAUUACUUGUUUUACAAUUAUAUUGUGUACCAUUGCUUAAACUGAUCAAUAUAUGUAUACAUCACUUUCUGAUUUUUAAUUUGAUGUAUGUGAGAGUUAAAUGGUGAAUUGGCGAUUACGUUAAUUGGUAUUAAAUAAUCACCAUUCUAAGCUGACUUUUAAAAUAAGCCUACAGUGUUGCUUUAAAGCUUCAUUUCAACCUUGUGACAUUUCUUUUUUCUUUUUAGCAUUAUACUAUGAAUUUAUUUAGUCACUACAAUGAUACUGUUAUAUUUCGUAAUUUUACAUAUUUUAUUAUGAACUAUAAAAACAUGUUACACUUAUAUUUUUUCAUUACAUUUUUAAUACAAUAGUGAAUUAUAACUGGUAAUGUAUACACAAAAUGUAGAGAAACAAAACUUAUUGAUUGAACAUACAAUAUGCAAGAAUUCGGAAAUGCAUUGCAUAAUGUUUGAUGGUUUGGUUGGACGGACUAAACCUGUAUCAAUAUUAUAAGUAAAACUUAUAUUUAUAUCAACUCAUUAGUAUAAAUGAAGAUUUACUUUUAUUCAACGUAGAUUCUGUUUCUUCGGUAGCUUUCAAUAAAUGAAAAUAUAAACAU
This 7379-nucleotide unclassified non-coding RNA is filed under the name Megachile rotundata (alfalfa leafcutting bee). Its description in RNAcentral is "e3 ubiquitin-protein ligase TRIP12, transcript variant X3". The record is from RNAcentral. Lineage: Eukaryota; Metazoa; Arthropoda; Insecta; Hymenoptera; Megachilidae.